UUAGUUAGUUGGUAAGGUAAAGGCUUACCAAGACGAUGAUGUGUAACUGGACUGAGAGGUUGAACAGCCACAUUGGGACUGAGACACGGCCCAAACUCCUACGGGAGGCAGCAGUAAGGAAUUUUUGGCAAUGGAGGAAACUCUGACCGAGCGACGCCGCGUGAACAAUGAAGUACUUCGGUAUGUAAAGUUCUUUUAUUGAAAAAGAAAAAAUAGUGGAAAAACUAUCUUGACAUUAUUCAAUGAAUAAGCCCCGGCUAAUUAUGUGCCAGCAGCCGCGGUAAUACAUAAGGGGCGAGCGUUAUCCGGAAUUAUUGGGCGUAAAGGGUACGUAGGCGGUUUGAUAAGUCUAUAGUUUAAUUGCGGUGCUUAACGCUGUACCGCUAUAGAAACUGUCUGACUAGAGUUAGAUAGAGGCAAGCGGAAUUCCAUGUGUAGCGGUAAAAUGCGUAAAUAUAUGGAGGAACACCAGAGGCGUAGGCGGCUUGCUGGGUCUUAACUGACGCUGAGGCACGAAAGCGUGGGGAGCAAACAGGAUUAGAUACCCUGGUAGUCCACGCCGUAAACGAUGAGUACUAAGUGUCGGGUUUUGGCUCGGUACUGAAGUUAACACAUUAAGUACUCCGCCUGAGUAGUACGUACGCAAGUAUGAAACUUAAAGGAAUUGACGGGACCCCGCACAAGCGGUGGAUCAUGUUGUUUAAUUCGAAGAUACACGAAAAACCUUACCAGGUCUUGACAUAACUUUGCGACAUUAUAGAAAUAUAAUGAAGGUUAUCAGAAUUACAGGUGGUGCAUGGUUGUCGUCAGCCCGUGUCGUGAGAUGUUAGGUUAAGUCCUAAAACGAGCGCAACCCUUGUCGUUAGUUGCGACCACAUAAUGGUGAGCACUUUAGCGAGACUGCCAAUGAAAAAUUGGAGGAAGGUGAGGAUUACGUCAAAUCAUCAUGCCCCUUAUGAUCUGGGCUGCAAACGUGAUACAAUGGCUUUUACAAAGAGUAGCUACAACGUGAGUUUUUAGCCAAUCUCAAAAAAACAGUCUC
Molecule: ribosomal RNA, 1042 nt
Filed under: Candidatus Phytoplasma phoenicium
Lineage: Bacteria; Bacillati; Mycoplasmatota; Mollicutes; Acholeplasmatales; Acholeplasmataceae
Description: bacterial SSU rRNA
Rfam family: Bacterial small subunit ribosomal RNA
Source: RNAcentral